This 678-nucleotide long non-coding RNA is filed under the name Marmota monax (woodchuck). The record is from RNAcentral. Lineage: Eukaryota; Metazoa; Chordata; Mammalia; Rodentia; Sciuridae.
GGCGUGCCGCGGCAGGCGGUCACUGUCGCCACACGCGCCCCUUCUGGCCAGCGCCCCCGGCCUGGGAGGGAGCACGGCGCCCCACCCCGCGAUUGCCGUGCUUUGGAAGGGACUGUUUCCCUGAACCCGUUCCCCCAACAGCCGCUAACUCCUCCCGCUAACGUCUUUUGAGCGGCCCGCUCCUGAGAACCUUGGCUCGGGAGAGCGACGCGGGGCCCUCGGGGCUGCGCAGGCCGCGGCGCCCUGCCCACGCCGGCCCGAGGGCGCGGCUCGCUCCCUUUCUCCGGCUCACACACCUACACUUCCUCCCAGACAGCAGCCGAGGAGCGGCGGAGUGGCCCCAGGUUUGACCCGAGGGCCUCCUAGUCCUCGGUGACGGCGGGCCAUCGGUCAUUUGGGGCCUUAGAGCACCGGAGGCUGCGCUUCGCCUGCCUGGCUCCCGGCGCCGUGGCCCAGUGAGGCGGGAAAGGAGAUUUGGGCUUUGAGGGUCGCAUGUGGUGCUCGAGGUCCCCUCGAGAGGUCUUCCCGGACGUGUUCCUGCUGAUACGGGGUAAAGCCAAUCCCGGAACGCCAAGAUUGUGGCCCAGGAAGAGGAAGGAACGCUGGCGGCUGCGAUGGGGCCUGGGACAUUGAGGGGAACCGUGGAGAGGCACCGAACUGGGAUCCCUGAGCGGGCGG